RNAcentral lists this transfer RNA (74 nucleotides) under Arthrobacter sp. Bi26. RNAcentral's name for it is "tRNA-Asn". It matches the Rfam family "tRNA". Rfam says of the family: Transfer RNA (tRNA) molecules are approximately 80 nucleotides in length. Their secondary structure includes four short double-helical elements and three loops (D, anti-codon, and T loops). Further hydrogen bonds mediate the characteristic L-shaped molecular structure. tRNAs have two regions of fundamental functional importance: the anti-codon, which is responsible for specific mRNA codon recognition, and the 3' end, to which the tRNAs corresponding amino acid is attached (by aminoacyl-tRNA synthetases). tRNAs cope with the degeneracy of the genetic code in two manners: having more than one tRNA (with a specific anti-codon) for a particular amino acid; and 'wobble' base-pairing, i.e. permitting non-standard base-pairing at the 3rd anti-codon position. Lineage: Bacteria; Bacillati; Actinomycetota; Actinomycetes; Micrococcales; Micrococcaceae. The record is from RNAcentral.
UGACCACUAGCUCAGUUGGCAGAGCAAAGGACUGUUAAUCCUUCGGCCCCAGGUUCGAGUCCUGGGUGGUCAGC